GGCCCUAUCUCGCCUGAAAGUUCUAUCGGUGUCCGCCUUUUCUUCGAAAGCCCUGACCCUCCUUGGCAUCUUCUUUGCCCUAGGCAUCCUUCGAGUCAUCCCUAUCCUCGCCCCUCUGCAUCCUUCAGAGCGAUCUAGGUUAGUCCCAGAACCUUCAUUUUUCUUCCUGCCAUUUAGGGGCCUUUUCUCCUCCAUUUUCUUCUGUCGUAUUCCUCUGAGUUAGUCUCCCGCGACCUCUCGUCCUUUGUCCCGUCUGUUUUCUUCGAGAUCUUUAGGGUCUUCAUUUGAAGUUAUUCAAAAUGUCUUCCGGCACCUCCGUCACUAGCGGCUCUGGGAGUUCUUCUGCCUCAGCCCCCCAGGAGCCCCGCUCUAUAGACGAACCCACUGAUGGGACUGGGCUUCGCCCGACUUUUGUGCCGGGUGCCAUUCCCUGCUCCCUGACUCCGGAUGAACU
RNAcentral lists this long non-coding RNA (454 nucleotides) under Elaeis guineensis (African oil palm). RNAcentral's name for it is "long non-coding RNA (EGUI_LNC080995)". Lineage: Eukaryota; Viridiplantae; Streptophyta; Magnoliopsida; Arecales; Arecaceae. The record is from RNAcentral.